GACGAACGCUGGCGGCGUGCUUAACACAUGCAAGUCGAACGGGUCUGCCCUGUUUUUUGCGGGGUGGGUCAGUGGCGAACGGGUGAGUAACACGUGAGUAACCUGCCCCUCACUUCUGGAUAACCGCUUGAAAGGGUGGCUAAUACGGGGUGUUCUGGCUGUGCCGCAUGGUGUGGCUGGGAAAGAUUCACUUUUGUGGUGUUUUGGUGGGGGAUGGGCUCGCGGCCUAUCAGCUUGUUGGUGGGGUGAUGGCCUGCCAAGGCUUUGACGGGUAGCCGGCCUGAGAGGGUGGGCGGUCACACUGGGAAUGAGAUACGGACCAGACUCCUGCGGGAGGCAGCAGUGGGGGGUAUUGCACGAUGGGCGGAAGCCUGAUGCAGCGACGUCGCGGGAGGGAUGGAGGCCUUCGGGUUGUGAACCUCUUUCGCCGGUGAAGAAGGUCCUGCUCUUUGUGGUGGGGUUGACGGUAGCCGGGUUAUGAAGCGCCGGCUAACUACGUG
Molecule: ribosomal RNA, 500 nt
Filed under: uncultured bacterium
Lineage: Bacteria
Description: partial 16S ribosomal RNA
Rfam family: Bacterial small subunit ribosomal RNA
Source: RNAcentral